GGUAUUGAUUGGUGCUUGCAUCAUGAUUUACAUUUGAGUGAGUGGCGAACUGGUGAGUAACACGUGGGAAACCUGCCCAGAAGCGGGGGAUAACACCUGGAAACAGAUGCUAAUACCGCAUAACAACUUGGACCGCAUGGUCCGAGUUUGAAAGAUGGCUUCGGCUAUCACUUUUGGAUGGUCCCGCGGCGUAUUAGCUAGAUGGUGGGGUAACGGCUCACCAUGGCAAUGAUACGUAGCCGACCUGAGAGGGUAAUCGGCCACAUUGGGACUGAGACACGGCCCAAACUCCUACGGGAGGCAGCAGUAGGGAAUCUUCCACAAUGGACGAAAGUCUGAUGGAGCAACGCCGCGUGAGUGAAGAAGGGUUUCGGCUCGUAAAACUCUGUUGUUAAAGAAGAACAUAUCUGAAAGUAACUGUUCAGGUAUUGACGGUAUUUAACCAGAAAGCCACGGCUAACUAC
Molecule: ribosomal RNA, 464 nt
Filed under: Lactiplantibacillus plantarum
Lineage: Bacteria; Bacillati; Bacillota; Bacilli; Lactobacillales; Lactobacillaceae
Description: bacterial SSU rRNA
Rfam family: Bacterial small subunit ribosomal RNA
Source: RNAcentral